Molecule: small nucleolar RNA, 91 nt
Organism: Malania oleifera
Lineage: Eukaryota; Viridiplantae; Streptophyta; Magnoliopsida; Santalales; Ximeniaceae
Product: small nucleolar RNA snoR27
Exons: 1
Source: RefSeq, a predicted model, not a curated record
CCUGGAUCAGUGAUGUUACUGAGAAACUGCGUUAUCUUUCUGUAAUUUCCUAAGGGGAAUUGGAGAUAAUUUUAACUAGCUGAGAUCCAAU